AAUGAUUAUUCCUUCAAAACAAAAUUUCUUGCUUUCAUAGGUGCCUAUGAAUUUUACUCUCCUCAGAUGUGGAAGGCAGCUUUCACAGAGUCAAUAGCAAAGGCCUUACUUGUGUUCACCCUCACCACAACCAUAAUCUCAUGCUUGGACUCACAUGAGGUUGAACCAAAGCUCCUUGUCCCACUAGCUGUCUUCAUUAUAGCCUUCUUAUUCCUCAUGGUGACAGUUCCAUUAUCUGGAGGCCACAUGAGUCCAAUUUUUACAUUCAUAGCUGCCCUCAGGGGUCUUGUAACUCUUGCUCGUGCAGCCAUCUAUGUGUUGGCUCAAUAAUUGGUUUUGUUAUACUGAAAAAAGUGAUGGACCAUAAAACAGUACAAAAUCAUUCCUUAGGUGGCUGCACAAUUGAUGGCAAUGGAGCAACAUCUGCACUAAGCCCUGAAAUUGCAUUGGCAUUGGAAUUCGUUUGCACCUGUGUGGUACUCUUUGUUGGUGUUACAGUGGCAUUUGACAAAAAAAGGUGUAAGGAACUUGGCAUGGCAAUGGUGUGUGUUGUGGUAGCAGGGUCUAUGGCCCUAGCAGUGUUUGUGUCAAUCACAGUUACUGGGAGGGCUGGCUAUGGAGGUGUGGGCCUGAAUCCUGCAAGAUGCUUGGGCCCAGCAUUGUUGCACGGAGGCAAAUUGUGGGAUGGACAUUGGGUUUUCUGGGUUGGGCCAUUUUUUGCUUACAUUGCAUAUUAUUGUUACUCUAUGAACUUACCAAAGGAAGAGGAAGAGUAUGAUAUUUUAAGGUUAGCUUGGGCUUGUUUCGGGAAAAAUUACAAUCCCACUAAUCUUCAAGAAAGAGUUUAG
Molecule: RNA transcript, 848 nt
Organism: Quercus lobata
Lineage: Eukaryota; Viridiplantae; Streptophyta; Magnoliopsida; Fagales; Fagaceae
Gene name: probable aquaporin PIP2-6
Exons: 2
Source: RefSeq, a predicted model, not a curated record